RNAcentral lists this transfer RNA (61 nucleotides) under Vietnamella sp. MT-2014. RNAcentral's name for it is "tRNA-Cys". It matches the Rfam family "tRNA". From Rfam's summary of the family: Transfer RNA (tRNA) molecules are approximately 80 nucleotides in length. Their secondary structure includes four short double-helical elements and three loops (D, anti-codon, and T loops). Further hydrogen bonds mediate the characteristic L-shaped molecular structure. tRNAs have two regions of fundamental functional importance: the anti-codon, which is responsible for specific mRNA codon recognition, and the 3' end, to which the tRNAs corresponding amino acid is attached (by aminoacyl-tRNA synthetases). tRNAs cope with the degeneracy of the genetic code in two manners: having more than one tRNA (with a specific anti-codon) for a particular amino acid; and 'wobble' base-pairing, i.e. permitting non-standard base-pairing at the 3rd anti-codon position. The record is from RNAcentral. Lineage: Eukaryota; Metazoa; Arthropoda; Insecta; Ephemeroptera; Ephemerellidae.
GGUCUUAUAGUUUAAGAAAAAUAUUAGACUGCAAUUCUAAAGUUAUAUAUUAUUAAGACUU